AGUCACUGACAUUAGAUACCCGUGUAGUCCAGGGUGUAAACGCUGCAGACUUGGUGUUGGGAGCCCUUCGGGGGUGCUCAGUGCCGGAGAGAAGUUGUUAAGUCUGCUACUUGGGGAGUACGUCCGCAAGGAUGAAACUUAAAGGAAUUGGCGGGGGAGCACCGCAACGGGAGGAGCGUGCGGUUUAAUUGGAUUCAACGCCGAAAAACUCACCAGCAGCGACUGUUACAUGAAAGUCAGGUUGAUGACCUUACUAGAUUUUCAG
Molecule: ribosomal RNA, 265 nt
Filed under: uncultured archaeon
Lineage: Archaea
Description: partial 16S ribosomal RNA
Rfam family: Archaeal small subunit ribosomal RNA
Source: RNAcentral